GAGGAAAACUCAUCUGUAUUCUCAGACCCAUCUAGUCCGCUCAGUGGUGCUAACAAUCAUGAAAAUGACUCGGAGAAAAGUAGUGUUGCUUCAAAUUCGUCCAUUGAUGAAACAGAUGAUCAUCCUGAGGCUAACCAUGAAGAUACAACACUUCCUGUUUCCCAUCUCCCUAAUAAUGCCACUCUAAAUUCUGGGGACAACAAUGAGGCCACUGGAAAGUCUCUGGCAGUUCCAAAGGAGCGGAAGCUUCUUUCAGGUAAAUUCCAAUGGUUUUGGAAGUUUGGUCGGAGUAAUGAUGGCGAGGAGACAUCUGAAAAAGGAAAUGGGGCACUUGAUGCUACAAAAUCUGCUAAUGAUGCUGGUAGUCAGAGCAGUACAGUAUGCUCU
This 387-nucleotide unclassified non-coding RNA is filed under the name Hevea brasiliensis (rubber tree). The record is from RNAcentral. Lineage: Eukaryota; Viridiplantae; Streptophyta; Magnoliopsida; Malpighiales; Euphorbiaceae.